UACGGAGGGGGCUAGCGUUGUUCGGAAUCACUGGGCGUAAAGGGCGCGUAGGCGGCUUUUCAAGUCGGGGGUGAAAGCCUGUGGCUCAACCACAGAAUUGCCUUCGAUACUGUUAGGCUUGAGACCGGAAGAGGUGAGUGGAACUGCGAGUGUAGAGGUGAAAUUCGUAGAUAUUCGCAAGAACACCAGUGGCGAAGGCGGCUCACUGGUCCGGUUCUGACGCUGAGGCGCGAAAGCGUGGGGAGCAAACAGG
RNAcentral lists this ribosomal RNA (253 nucleotides) under uncultured bacterium. RNAcentral's name for it is "partial 16S ribosomal RNA". It matches the Rfam family "Bacterial small subunit ribosomal RNA", at positions 524 to 776 of the family's 1533-position model. The record is from RNAcentral.